AUUGAACGCUGGCGGCAGGCCUAACACAUGCAAGUCGAGCGGAUGAAGGGAGCUUGCUCCUGGAUUCAGCGGCGGACGGGUGAGUAAUGCCUAGGAAUCUGCCUGGUAGUGGGGGAUAACGUCCGGAAACGGGCGCUAAUACCGCAUACGUCCUGAGGGAGAAAGUGGGGGAUCUUCGGACCUCACGCUAUCAGAUGAGCCUAGGUCGGAUUAGCUAGUUGGUGGGGUAAAGGCCUACCAAGGCGACGAUCCGUAACUGGUCUGAGAGGAUGAUCAGUCACACUGGAACUGAGACACGGUCCAGACUCCUACGGGAGGCAGCAGUGGGGAAUAUUGGACAAUGGGCGAAAGCCUGAUCCAGCCAUGCCGCGUGUGUGAAGAAGGUCUUCGGAUUGUAAAGCACUUUAAGUUGGGAGGAAGGGCAGUAAGUUAAUACCUUGCUGUUUGACGUUACCAACAGAAUAAGCACCGGCUAACUUCGUG
Molecule: ribosomal RNA, 483 nt
Filed under: uncultured bacterium
Lineage: Bacteria
Description: partial 16S ribosomal RNA
Rfam family: Bacterial small subunit ribosomal RNA
Source: RNAcentral